UAGUCUUCUUGGUAACGAGCCCGGUGGAUGGAUUGAACCCAGAGUGUAGCAAUCUCUUCUCUUCCUUUUUUUCUUUUUCUUUUCCCUUCGAACGUUCCUAAUCGCCUGGUGGUGGAAUUUUACCUUCUUCGGCUAUUCUGCGGACACUCUCCGGUGCGUCUGCAGCGGGAUGUAGCUAGCAUAGCGCCAAAGAGCUUGGAGGUUUAUCUAAUGGCAUAAAAGUUUCAGUGGCAGCAACAUAUGGAGAUGGAGGUUUGGACAAUGCCAUUCCUGUUCUGCCGAUUCUUUUUCCCCUUUGUCUGGUGGUGUUUUGUAAUCCAUAACAUUUUGUUAAUCUUUUUUUUGUAUUUUCUCCUCCCAAUAAAGAUGGGGAUCGACAUCAUCCAAUUUAACCAUCUUUUUAUGUUGCCUGGUUUCUCCAGUAUAUACAUAUAUGUAUGUCUGAGUGCUCAUCUCUGUCUUCAGAAUAAUACUAGCAUUGUCUGAAUUUGAUCCAACUGCUCAUCUCAAGGCUGGCACACAGUGUACAAAAAUCCACCAUUGUCAUCUGCUCUGCUCUGCUAUGAAACUCCACAGUCUUGCUAGUUACAGUACUACUGUACCUUACAACUAUAUUUUGUCAGACGACAUCAUCGAAGCUACCCUUGCCGUCAGCGGCGUCGGAGAGUUGUUUCCGGCGACUGCCCCCUCUCACUGCUGGCAGCAGCGGGGCGGCGUCGUACUCGGAGACGGCCGUCUUCUCGUCGACGGUUUUCCGGUGCGCCUGCUCGCACCGCAGCAGUAUCUGCAGCACGUCCUUCAUGGUCGGCCGCGUCGACGGCUGGGCGCCGGUGCAGAUGAUGCCGAGCUUGAACACGACCUCAAAGUCGUCACUUUGCCUGGCGUCGCCGAUGCACUCGUCCGCCGCGUCGGCGAUGCUCUUCCCCGACUGCAGGUGCCGCCACGCCCACUCCGCCAGCGAGCAGUGCUCCCCGCCGUUGCCGGCCUCCCUGCCGGUGGCCAGCUCCAGCAGCACCACCCCGAAGCUGUACACGUCCACCUUCUCGUUCGCCUUCCUCGUGUACGCGCACUCUGCAAUCAUACCACGGCGAACAAUAUGAGCCACUGAGCUGCAAGAAAUUUCGUCCUUGAGGAUUACCAUCAAGGUGAGGUGAUCGGCGCGUACCGGGAGCCAUGUAGCCGAAGGUUCCGGCGACGGCGGACAUGGUGUCAGUGGGCGUCGUGCCGGCGGCCUCGACGAGCAUCCGGGCGAGCCCGAAGUCGGCGACCUUGGCGUUGAGCUCCGCGUCGAGCAGGAUGUUGCUGCACUUGACGUCCCGGUGCACCACCGGCGGGGAGCACUCGUGGUGCAUGUAGCUCAGCCCCCGCGCCGCGCCCACGGCCACCCUCACCCUCGCCGCCCAGUUCAGCGGCGCUCGCCUGACCGAGGGCGCCCUCGCCGGCAUCGAGCUCCCAGCCGGCGCCGGCCACCUGUGGCCGUGCAGCCACUUGUCCAGGCUGCCGUUGCCCAUGUACUCGUAGACCAGGAGCUUGGUCUCCGCGCGGGAGAGGCAGCACAGGAGCUUGACGAUGUUGGUGUGGCGGACGUGGCCGAGCACCUCCACCUCCGACUCGAACUCCCGCUCCAGCUUCCUCUCCACCUUCCCGCCGGUCCAGAUGCGCUUCACGGCCACCACCGUGCCGCCGCUCGCGCCGCUCCGGCUGGGGCACUCCACGCGGUACACCCGCCCCGACCCGCCCUUGCCGAUGAGGUUCUCGUCGGCGAGCCCGCGCAGCACGGGGCCCUCGCCGAAGUCCAGCGGCUGGAAAGGGGUGAGCUUCCAGGCCUCUUCGGGCGGCGCGAGCCCCUUCCGCCUCUUGGUGUCGCGGACGAUGAAGAAGGCGAGCGCCGCGAUGACCACGAGUAGCGCGGCGGCGGCGGCGACAAGGCCGGUGCGAAGGCCUGGUGAUACCUUGUCGGAUGACCUGGCUGCGCACGAGCUCACGCCGGCGAGGUUCCCCGACGACGCCGCGCCCGUGCAGAGCGCGCGGUUGCCCAGGAAGCUUCGGUCGUAGGCGGGGACAGCGAGCGCCUCCGGGACCUCGCCGGCGAGGUUAUUGGAUGACAGGUUUAGCUGGUUCAGCCUUAGUGAUCCCAGCGCUCGCGGGAUGCUGCCGGAGAGUUGGUUGGACGAGAGGUCGAGCAGGGUGAGCACCGGCAUGGAGCCCAACCCCGCCGGUAUCUCGCCGGUGAGCUGGUUGUUGCUGAAGUUCAUCUGCGUGAGGCCACCGAGCGACGCGAUGCUCGGCGGGAUCGCGCCCGACAGCUGGUUGGACGACAGGAUGAACUCCUGCAGCAGCGGCAUGCCGGCGGCGAGCCCCGCGGGUAUCUCGCCGGAGAAGGAGUUGUUCCCGGCGUUGAACUUCUGCAGCUUAGCCGCCGACGACGGAAGGCUGCCUCUGAACUUGUUGUUCAUGAUGUAGAGCCUCGUCAUGUUCCAAAACAGCGUCUCUGGCAGGGUACCGGUGAGCCCUCCAUUGUUCUGCAAAAGCAGAGUCAUCAGCUUCGUCUCCGUCCAGAGCGCGGCCGGCACCUCGCCGGAAAGCUCGUUGUCUUGGAGCUGCAGGCUUAUGAGCGCGGGGCAGUUGGCGAGGCUGGCCGGGAUCGAGCCGUUCAGGCGGUUGCCGGAGGCGGUGAUGACCCACAGCCCGCGGUUCUUGCAGACCCCCGCCGGUAUCGGCCCGGAGAGGUCGUUGUCGUCGACCUGGAUGUCUCUCAGCGACGGCGAGUGCAUCCCGAGCUCCGCCGGAAGCGCUCCCGUGAGUUUGUUCUCAAACAGCCACAGGAACACCAGCGACGGGAGCUGGGCGAGGCUCGCCGGUAUCUCGCCGGAGAAGCCGUUGCCGCUCAAGCAUAAUUUGAUGAGCUUCGUCAAGGUCCCGAACCUUUCCGGGAUCACUCCGGUCAGCUUGUUGUAGGACAGGUCGAUCUCGAUUAGACCCGCCGCUCCGAUGGCGCCGUCGAUGACGACGUCACCGGCGAGCUUGUUAUAGUGUAAGUACAACACCUGCAGCUUGGUGAGGUUCCAGAUCGACGGUGGAAUGUUCCCGGUGAACGCGUUCGUCGACAGGUCAAGCCACACCAACUCCGACAUCUCCGGGAGGUAGCUCGGGAACUCGCCGGUGAGGUUGCAUCCGGCUAGCCAGACAGUGGCCAGCCUCGUCAAGUUCUUGAACGACUCCGGCAGCUUGCCGGGGACGAAAGGGUUGAGCUCGAGCUUGAGCGUCUGGAGGCCGAUCAGCUCCCCGAGCUCCGGCGGGAUGGUGCCGGUGAGCUGGUUGGUGCCGAGAGCGAGGACCGUCAGGUUCUUGAGCUUGGACAGCGCGGGCGGCACCUGCCCGGUGAAACCGUUGCCGUUCAGGGCCAGGUACGUGAGGUUCUCCCCGAGGCGGCCGAUGUCGGCGGGGAGGUCGCCGGAGAACCUGUUCAUCGAGAGGUCGAGGUGCGUGAGGCCCGUGCAGUUGUAGAGGAACGCCGGGAAGCCGCCGCUGACGCUGGUGUUGCUGAGGUCGAGCGUGGCGAGGCUGGCGAGCCGGCCGAUGGCGUCGGGGACGGGGCCGGAGACGGUGACGUUCGGGAGGGCGAGGGAGGUCACCCGGCCGGCGCCGUCGCAGGAGACGUGGGCCCAGCCGGCGCAGGGCGAGCCCGUGGCCGCCGACCACGACGCGAGCUCCGCCGGGUCGCCCCACGCGCGCUUGAUCUCGAGCAGGAGCUGCCGCUCGUCGGCCUGCUGCGCCGCGGCAUGGUGCAGGUGCAGGACGAGGCAGAGUGCGAGGAGUGGGAGAUAGGCGCGGCGUGGCGACGCCAUGGUCGGGUCGCUGGUUGGUUUCCGGCCGCCGGAGGACGGAGGCGUGCGUUCAGUUUGGUUGGCGGGAGCGGCCUGCCAUCGCUGACCCCGGUGUGGAAACGUGUGGGCGCGUUAUGUAGUGGGAACUGGCCGCGGCCGGUGUUUUUUCCCUUUUCUUUUGUCCUUUUUAAUUCCUUUUUCAUUCUGAUGUGUGUCAUGUUGGAUAUUGUGCUCGUUGGGGUUGUCGGGUGGUGCUUGCUUGGAAGCUUCAAUCUUUGUUCCUUACUUGGUUGUUUAAUUCGUGUUUGCUACAUGUGUUGUUAGUGUGGGGUUUAGGCAGGGUCAAACUAAUUGGACUGAAGGGGACGCGUUCUAGAUGGUUAGCAUACCAUGCCGCCGGCCACCUCCGCGGACGCCUCUCUUUCCCCACCCUUCUCGGCGCCCCCUCGUCUUCCCGCCCUGCAUCGCUGGCCGAGAUUUUAGAAUGGGCCCGCCGAUAUCCAACUGUCUUGAGCCUAUGCACAUAUGCACCUUUGACCUCCCCUUCUUCGACUCCUCCAUACUCUAUGCCGCACCUCGUCAUCAGCCGAGCUCCUCCCCCGUCGUCGGUCGCCGCUCCCUCCUCAAUGAAGCCGAGUGUCGCCUCCUGAGAGUACCACCGCGCCACUGCUACCGCAUCAAGUUUCGUUUUUCACAAAUUGAUCUUGUAGAUGAGUUUUGUGUUAUAUGUUGCAUUUCUAGGGUUCACAUGUGAAUCUUGACAUGGAUGAUUAAUGUGUAUGUGCAUAUGUGAAUGUACGAAUAGUGACUAUUCGUACUCGACUAUUCAUAUGUGCAUGGAUAUGUCAUUUUUUGAGAAUUGUGGAUAUGUGAAGUCAAUGUCAACUACAAUGUAUGUGCACGUCAAUGCCAAUUGAAAUGUCACCAAAAUGUGACAUGCUUCCUCAUAUGCUACUUGUAUCGAGUUGUUUGCACAUGAUGGAAGAGAUCAUUCUUGCGCCAUCAUGAUAUCCUAGAAAAACGAUGUUGAUGCAACUUCAUUGUCAAUGCCACUUGAGGAUAUUGCUAUUUGCAAGCAGUGGUGCUAAAGGAAGUGCAUAAAGAUUAGGCAAUUACGCCCAAAAUGAGGACAUCCAAUUGUGCCUCUUAUGGCGAAUUACUGUAUGAGAUCCUAUUCUAGGCGAUCAAUAGUGGGAGGAGGCAUAUUGAAAAUGGAUUGCCAAGCACUACACCUCAACAAAAUAUUUGAGUUUGAUAGAACUGCUAAGCCUCUUGAGCAUCGGCCGACUACAAUUAUGAAGGAGACAAUAAGUGGCAACUGUGCUAUCAUCAAAUUGAGUAUUGUCAUCCAAGUGUCCAUACCAUAUUAAGAGCAUGCAAGUUAACUAGUCCCUUGAUCAGAUUGCAAUUUUUGCUGUCAUUUCUAUGUGCACUAACAAUUUUCUUUGGUGUAAAAGGAAAAAAAAGAGGACAUCUGGCCUACUUCACUGUUGGCUCAAGUUGAAGAAUUUUCCAAUAUGGCAAGGACUAAACCCUGUCAAACAAGAGAUCAAGGUCCGACAAGUUUUGACGCCAUCCGAGAAGGGUAUGAUAGCUAGAGUCCAACUCCAAAAUCCGGCACCACCUAGUAAGAAGAAACCACUAGGGUGGAGGGCUGAAAAUGAGAAACGGGAGAUGGAAGUAGAGAAUGCACCAUGCAAGAAGGAAUAUUCGGGCUUGUUGGUGGCGAUGAACUGAAAGUGCUAGUUAUCGACUAGANNNNNNNNNNNNNNNNNNNNNNNNNNNNNNNNNNNNNNNNNNNNNNNNNNNNNNNNNNNNNNNNNNNNNNNNNNNNNNNNNNNNNNNNNNNNNNNNNNNNNNNNNNNNNNNNNNNNNNNNNNNNNNNNNNNNNNNNNNNNNNNNNNNNNNNNNNNNNNNNNNNNNNNNNNNNNNNNNNNNNNNNNNNNNNNNNNNNNNNNNNNNNNNNNNNNNNNNNNNNNNNNNNNNNNNNNNNNNNNNNNNNNNNNNNNNNNNNNNNNNNNNNNNNNNNNNNNNNNNNNNNNNNNNNNNGGGGGGUGAAUAGGCGAUUUUUAUCAAAGUCUUCAAAACAUGAGAGUUUCGAAGACAAUCAAUAGAAAUGGACCUAUUGAUAUGCAGCGGAAGGUAGACUACACUAAGCAAGCCAUAGUCAAGUAUACAAUGAAGUGAAAGCACGAAGACUAAUACCAGCUAGGUAGUGAAGAUCAGGAUGGAAGAUAGUAUGAAGCCAAACAACAAUUGAAGUCACACAGUGAAGUCAAACAGGUAACACAGGUAGGCAAUGACUUCACGAAGACAAACUAAAAAUAAAGAGAGGGAGAAGAUAGAACCAGUCGCUUGGUGAGGACAAGGAUUUGUUGGACCAGUUCCGGUUGCUGUGACAACUGUACGUCUGGUUAGCGAGGCUGAGAUUUAGCUCAAAAGACCGUGUCUUCACCUUAUUCCCCUUGAGCUAAGGACACCCAGUCCUCGCCCAAUCACUCUGGUAAGUCUUCAAGGUAGACUUCCAAACCUUCACAGACUUCGUUCACUGGCGAUCCAUAAUGACUCUUGGAUGCUCAGAACGCGACGCCUAACCGGCUGGAGGAUUCACAGUCCUCAAGUGUAACAAGUCUUCAGGUCACGCGGACAGAAAGACUUCAGUGAUGCCUAGCACUCUUUGGCUCUGGGUGUUUGGGCUUUGUCCUCGCAAGGAUGUCUCUCUCUCAAAAGCUUCGGAGGUGGGUUGCUCUCAAACGACAAAAGCCAUGCACUAACUCUGAGCAGCCACCAAUUUAUGGUGUAGGGGGUGGGUUAUUUAUAGCCACUAGGCAACCCGACCUGAUUUGUCCGAAAUGACCCUGGGUCACUAAGGAACUGACACGUGUUCCAACGGUCAGAUUUCAAACACACGCGGCAGCUUGACUUGGGCUACAAGUAAAGCUGACUCAUCCAGCUCUGGAUAAGAUUUGCUCUCAUUGUCUUCACUUGAAGACAUAGGAUUUUGGUUGAGCAUCACUUCAGUCACUCUGACUUUGUUCACUGGGACCCCACUUAACAGUACGGUGGUUCCUAUGACUCAACAAAGAAGAAAAGGAAACAACGAAACAACUAAGUCUUCGCGCUCCAUAGUCUUCACGUGAUGUCUUCUCUUGUCAUAGUCUUCAAUGUGAAUAUCUUCACAUACCACUAUUGUCUUCAAUGUCUUCAUAUAUUUUUAGGGGUCAUCUCCGGUAGGUAAACCGAAUCAAUGAGGGACUACUACCUGUGUUAUCCUGCAAUUCUCACAAACACAUUAGUCCCUCAACCAGGUUUGUCAUCAAUACUCCAAAACCAACUAGGGGUGGCACUAGAUGCACUUACAAUCUCCCCCUUUUUGGUGAUUGAUGACAAAUCGGUUGAAGUUCUCAACGGGGAUAAAAGUAUGUGAAAUUAUAAAGGUUAAAGGUAUUGUAUUCAUAAGUAGCAAAAGGCUCCCCCUGAAGAUGUGCAUAUAAGUAAUUUGCUUUUGGAAUGCAAAUGCACAUGGCAGGUUGUACUUGUGGAGAUCCUCUUCAACUCAUGAAGACAAUUCAUCAUGCAUGAUUAGAUAUAACGACGAUAAUGACAUGCAUAAUGAAAAAUGAACGUCUACAGUAUGACUUCGUGCGGAAUUUAUCAUCGCACAUGCGGAAUAGCAGAAAAAGUAGCAGACGACCAUCAAGUUUAAGUGUUACAACUCAAAGAACCAAAUGUAUCAAAAGCGAGAGUUGUAAACACUAGGCAAAAUAUAAAGCAACCGCCCAUAUGGACCCGCUUGAAGACUAUCAACUCAUAUGCUUCUCCCCCUUUUGUCAGUAAGGACCAAAAAGGUUUGAAGACAUAGAGCCUCUACUUGUUCCCAGAAGGAGUAGGUGAAGCUGCAGGGUCGGCGUUGGGGUUUGGCGGUGCAGAAGAACUUGGUGCAGUGUCGACACGCGCUGAAGUUGGAGGUGGUGAGGUAGCAUCAUCUUGAUCAUCUAUGACUCUGGCAUUCACCGUUGCAGCUGAGGAGGAAUAAUCAGAGUCUUCAAGAGAGGGAGUCCGACGCAAGACAUCAUUCCUUGGAGGAGUGGAGUCAAACUUGAAUCUUUCAGUGAAGCCAUCGUCUUGAAGAUCUGCUUCAGCACUCAGCAAUGUCAAACUCUUCCAUGACCUCCGACAGGUUUCAUGAGUGACAAAUGCAUUCUUGGUGGCAAGAUUGCGAAUGCGAUUUACGUCCACCAAGAGGCUUUGCAUCUGCCGCUUCAGCCAGUAGUGAUGCUUAUCCUGUUUCUGAUGCAGGGCAACGAGAAGCUCUCGGUCAUUGAGAACACGAGAUCGCUUCCGGGGCCUUUGAGCAAUAGUGAUUUCAGUGGCUUCAGUAUGGGCACGGUGAGGGAAGCGUGUAUUGCCAGCCAAAGGAUAAACACGAGUGAUGGCCUGAACUCCUUCAAUGGGCUGUGUGAAGCUUUGGUGAUCAGCAUUGUGAAGAUAAACAGGCUCCUUGGCAGGCUCCGGGUAUAUGGCUUCAACUGACAUAUCAACCUCUAGCAAAAAUAUCAGAUGGUUGCGUGCAGAAGGUUGAUAGUUGACGGCAGAGUGAAGCUUGAUAAGGCGCAUAACCCAUGGAGCGUAGAACUUCAGACCAAAGAGAUCAGAGCCUGAUGCAGCCAAUUGCCUGAUAAAGAAGUCUUGAGCAUUGAAGCUGAUGCCACUGAAGAUAUAAAAGACCAAUGUCUUCAUCGCUCCUUCAUGCUUUGCUGCAGAAGAAUGUCCUUUGACAGGCCAGAGAGUUCGCCUGAUGAUAUGAUAAAUAGUGCGGGGCAGAUACUCUAGGUCUUCAACAAAGAACUCUCUUGGGUAUUCAGCGUCGCGUGACAGAGGCUUCAUCAUGCUUAGCAUUUGGCUCAUGUUGGGCUCUGGCUUCUGAAAGAUGCUCUCCAAUGCAUUGCGGUGAAGCUGACAACCAGGCUCGAAAAGUUCACCUGGAGUGGGCAGGCCAGUUAGCUCAAUGAUAUCAAGAGCUUUGGCUUCAUGAUGGACAUUGCCUGUCAUCCACUCAAGGACCCAAGUCUUCGGAUCCCUGUUGUAGCCGCGAAUAUGGAGGGUAGCAUAAAAUUAUAGCAGAAGCUCUUCAUUCCAAUGCUCCUUAUCAGUCACAAAGUUCAGCAGACCAGCAUCACGGAAGCAGUCAAGGGCUUCUUCAAGGCAGGGCAGUCCAGCAAUGGCUUCAGUGUCUAGACGCAUAUGUGGAAAGAUACGCCCUUGGUCAUAGAGAACACAGGAAUAGUAGCCGCACUGCUGAUAGCUCCAGAACCGAUCUGAUGAAAUCCUUGGCUUGGAAUAGGGGUUCUUGGCACUAUCAAUGAAAGUGUUGUUCGCAAUGAAGCCAUUUCAAUUGAAUGACCUUGGUGAAGUUGCUGUACCUGGAAACCUUGGCAACCUUGGCAACCUUGGCUUAGGCUUCUGGACCUGAGGCCUGUGCUCGAUAUGAUAGUCAAAUUGCGGACCAGCAGCAGGUGGAGGAACCAGAAUGGGCCAUCUAACAGUGACCAGCUGACCAUGAUCAUAUGCUUGCUCGAUGGUGUGUGGUCGUGGAGGCGGUACAGGAGCAGUGGCAGUGGCAGUGGUAUUGACUUCAGGCUGCAGAUUUGCGUCAGGUGCAGCAUUGGCUUCAGGUGCAAUCACUUCGGGCACCACAUUAACUUCAGGCGCCAUAUUAGCUUCAGCCAUGACAACGUCAUUGGCUUCAGUGUUGGUGGUCGCCUCAAUGUUAUCAACCUCCACUCGAGUAGCUGGAGGGUCGGACAUGUUCUCCUCGAGAACAACUUCAGGGUUGGUUGGGGGUGUAGCAACACGUUCUUCUUCAUCUCUUGGUUCUUCUUGGUCAUCGGCUGAUGCAGUCGGAAUAUCUUCAGCCGCGUUGGCUUCAGACUCGGAGUUGUUCACAGUUAGAGAGGCUUCAGGAAAUACUUGGCGAGAUACUAAUUGGCGCUCUUCUCCUUCUGGAACACUCGACAGAGUGACUUGUGGCCUUGGUCCUUUACGAAGCUUGCGGAACACUGGCGACGCAUGUGGAGAUGGAGUUGGUUGGGCCUCAAAGUCAUCACCUUCAAGCACCGGAGCGGUGACUUGAGUUGGGGGAGUAGUUGGUGUUUCUGCUUGACGGGGGGAGUCUUGAGGGUGAUCAGCCCAUGAAUCAUCCUGAGCGAUUGGUGUCAAGGGACGACCAAUGCUGAUGAGUUCGCUGUUCGUGAGAACAGGCGAUGAUACCACAUUUUGCUCGAUCUGAGGAAGGACUUCAUCAUCUUCUACAUUGUCAUGUUGACCAAUGUCUUCAGCUGCGGUGGGGUCAACAACUGGAAUGUCUUCAGCUUCAGGAGCCUCUGUGGAAGCAGGCUCAUGAACUAUCAUACGACGCUCUUGAUGUGCAGAUGCAGGACGAGCAACAGAAAUUGGCUCGACGACAAGGGGCUCUGUGGGAGCAGCCCGAUCUUUCUUCUUGGUUUUUCACUUCUUGGCAGGUGGAGCCUCGUCAGUGGUGUUCUUGGUCUUGCGCUUUCUGGCUUCGGCUUCAGAUGCCCUUGUUUUCUUGAGCUCUGAAGCCACUGUGGGGACCUUUAGCUUUACGCCUGUCAUACUGGCGGGGAAGACAAUGCGAGGUUCUUCCCGCCUGGAUGCUUCAGUUUCGUCCACAGCAGGCUUCUUCUUGGCAGCCAUCUUGGGGUCAAUGCCAGGACGCCCAAGUGCCUUGCGCUUCUCAACUUCGUUGUAAGCUUGAACACACUUGGCAGCCAAGAGCUUCAUGCGCUCUCGAGAACCUUUGGUUUCAUCACGUUUCUUGUGAAACGCCUCCUUGAGCUCAUGCAUCAUUGUCUUGAAGUUUUGGACGUCUGUCACACUGAGCUUGGCCAUAUGCUUCUUGAACUGAGCAUUCUCAUAAUCAAUUUUGUGCUUCAGUUCAACGAUUUUCUGAGCAAGAGCUAGCUCAGGAGCAAUGGCUCCAUGGAAGGAGACGCUGAGGCCAAUGGGGAGUUGGAGAUCAUCAAAACUGAGUUUUGGGCUGUCAAACCACUCGUCAAUGAAUUUGUUCAGAAUGUCCACAUCGAAGAGGGGAAGAUCAUUGAAGAUUUCCGCCUCUUGCUUGCUCUUUAUUAGAAGCUCAAGAGCAUCAUCGCCAAGAUCGUCGUCACUAGACAGAUCAAUGGCGUCGUUCUCAUUCCUGAGAACGGUAGCAGGGGUCAGUGCUUGACCAGUAGGCUGUACGGGCUUCUUCUUCUUCCUAGACUUGGAGAUGCGUGAGAGAUCUUCAGAGUGCACGCUUGGUGCAGGAGGAGCAGUGGCCAGAGGCUUCGCUUGCGAAGCUCUUGGUGCAGCUGAGGGCUUCGAAGCCUUGGGUUUCUUCUGCUUUUGAGGCUUUGGCGGAGCAGGCGCUUUGUCAGAAUCAGCGUCAUCUCCAGACUGAUCCACUGUGGCUCUCUGAGCAGCGAUGUAGGAGAGGAGACUGUCGUGGAAUUGUCACGGCAGAUGUCCUCAAGCUAGGACUUAGUCAUGGAUCCAUCGCCGCUAGGAAGCUUGAAGGGGUUAACGGGACAAGGAACACGAGGGUUUAUACUGGUUCGGCCCCUUACGGUGAAGGUAAAAGCCUACGUCCAGUUUAGGUGGUAUUGAUUAGGGUUUCGAUGACCAGGGAGCUUAGCUACUGUGCCUGGCUCUCGAUCAGAUCUUUCUCGUCCUUAAACCGCUGCCGGGUCGUCCCUUUAUAUAGGGAGGCUGACGCCCAGCAGCUCUCAGAGUCCCGGCCGGCUCAUAAGAGUGUCCGGCUCGGACUCUCAACUAUUCUUGCCUUACACUACAAGUUCUACCAUAAUAAUGAUUGUAACUACGGGCUUUAAGCUAUAUCCGGGUCUUAAGCCCAUCUUUGGCCCACCGUCUUCAAGUUUGGCACCGGGCUUCUGGCAAUGACCAUUAUGAGUAACCCGGCCCCUCCUGGCGGGUGACUCUAAGGUCUAUAUCCUCAACAUUAGGCCCCAGAUUGAUUUGAGCCGGCUCAUGUCAAUCUUCAAUUCUUUCGAUAGAAAAAAUCUCUGGCUUAACAUUGUGCGAAGACCAUAACCCGGCGUGACGUCAUCCUCUGGAUUCCGGGUAAUCCGCCGUGACGUCAUCUUCCAUUAAGCCCGUUUUUUUACUCCGCCGGAUCCGCAACGGAUCUUAUCUUUACUGCCAUCCUGAAAAUCGAGGCGUUUCAUGGGGAGAUUACCACGCCGUGGUCUCCUCGUUUCUCGCGCCCACUUAUGAGCUCGCCUUUAUAAAUAGCCCGGCCCGACGGGCCUUCAGCCACUCUUCUUCCUCCUCGCGCCACUGUUUCUCCGCUCGAUCUCUGCUGCCGUCGCCGCCGCGGGUCUCCUCCUCCUCACCAACUCCGGCCGCUGCAUCAACCUGUUGUGUCCAGAGAAAAACGGUGGCGACCUCCGCGACUCACCAGCACCUGUAAGUUCUGACUGCCCCGUAGAACAGAUCUGCAGCAAGUUCGUCCUGUUCUUCCAUGUUCUUCGCCGCCACCCGCGAGUUCUUGGUAGUUUUCCUUUUUACUGCCUCUUUUUGAUCUUAGGAUAGUAUAGAACCAAUGCGGCGGCUGUUUAGCACUCAUUUCAAAUGCAAGCAGACCUCUUUUUACUGCACAAGAGCCUCGUUCGAGCCCAAGAACUUCCCCUGCGUCUGUUUUUAGGUCUAGAAACUUUCCUUUUGACCGACCAUUUUGAUCCAAAUUAUUUACUGCAAUGUGUGAAACCUGUUUUCACCAUACUUAGUGAAAAACUGCACCUGUUAAGUCUUGGCGGUUUACAUUUCCGGUUUAAAGAAACCACGCGCCGUAGAAUCUUCCGACUCAAAGGAGACCAUGCUCCAUAGAAUUUUCCGGCUCAUUUGUGAUAAGGCCGUAGACAACCGAAUUACUCUCAAUACCUAGGGCGGCUUAAAUAACCCGCUGCACCUAGAUAUAUGUCAUUAGUCCCCUCCAUAAGCCGCCUUUUUAACAUUAAAUUGUAAAUCUUCUCCGGCUUAUAAUUAAAUCGGACAUUUCCUUUUAUUCAUAGGCUGCCGACUUUCGCCAUGCCUCCCAAAGCUCCUAAGGCCUCCAUCACUUGCAAUUGGAUGAGGUCCAAUGUCACCAACGAGACUUUAGCGGAUUUUGUCAAGUCAGGUUACUUGCCCAAGAAGGACGUCAUGUCCUACCGUGCCCCCGACCCAUCAGAGGAGAGACCACAGCCAAGGGACGGGGAGGUGGUCAUUUUUGCGGAUCACAUGAGCCCGGGCUUCGCACCGCCCGGCUCAAAGUUUUUUAGAGACGUGCUGAACUUCUUUGACCUGUGGCCACAAGAUAUAGGACCCAACUCGGUGUCCAACAUAUGCAAUUUCCAAGUAUUCUGCGAGCUUUAUCUUGGAGAAGAGCCCAGCCUGCUGCUCUUCAGAGAGCUCUUCUACCUGAACCGCCAGAACGAGUGCGCCAACGGGCCAAGUUUGGAGCUAGGCGGCAUCUCCAUUCAGAGACGGAGAGACUGUCUUUUCCCUUACGCCGAGCCGCCGAGUCACCCAAAAGACUGGAACCUGACGUGGUUCUAUUGCCAAGACACGUCGCCGGCUGACGAGAGCCCGCUGCCCGGCUUUCACCCCUCACGUCUGGAACCAACUCACCCUCUGUCUGACAAGUUGACUCAGGCGGAGCGCCAACCUCUGCUCCCCACUAUAAACAAGAUCAAGGCCCUCCUGGGCAAUGGUCUCAACGGAAUCGAUCUGGUCCGAGUCUGGAUCUCCUGGCGGGUGAUCCCAUUGAGCCGCCGCCCCGGCUUAAUGUGCGAGUACACGGGCCGAAAGGAUGACCCUCAGAGACACAGUCGCAACGAUCUUCCUGAAGAUGUUGCUGAGGACAUGACCAAGGCUCUCUUGAACGAGAGCUUGGCAGACUGCGGGAGGACCGGGUUAGACCCCUUCUGCAAGAUCAACCCAGCCCCAGUAGUAAGCCGCUGAUUUGAACAUUUUAUCUUCAUCUGCAGAUAACCUUCAUCUGAAUCUUUAAGAAAUCAUCAUUGUAUUUUUCAGGCUGAUGACAAGUUCUGGAAGGUCAAAUAUGACCACGAGGCGGCCAAAAAGGCCAGGAAGGCGAAGAAAGCCGCUCCCCGCAAGAAGGGAAGUAGGCCUACUGCUUCAGAGCUGAUGCAACGAAGUGACAGCUCCGAGUCAGAGGUAACCCCUGAACCUGUAAACUCUUGUUAUAUCUGUUAUUUAUUUCUGUCCACCUUAUCAAUACUAUUCAUCAACAGGAUGACACCGGCGCAAGUAACCCGGUGGUUGAAGAGGUAAUGUCACUUUCCUUUGACUCGGAGCCCUUGCCAAGGCUGAAAGUCCGAAGGGUAACCCGGAAAGUAAGCUUUUCACAUCCUUUAGCUUAUCAAGAUCCUCAAUUUAUUUUGAAGCGACAGGUUCAUGAAAGCCGGCGGCACACCCGGACCAACAAAGACACUGACCUCUCCUCCGGGUUACCUGACGCAUCGAGGAAACGCCGGACCGAGGUGAUCUCAAAGUUGUACCCUUUUCAUCCUUUGGCAGGUGUUAUACGUCAACCGCUCAACUCUUCUGACUCAAAUUAUCAGGAAACUUCCCCCUCUUCUGGCGACUCUAUGCAGUCGAAUCUGCCGGCUUUCAAGACCGUGCCCGGGUAAUGAUGAUCAUCGCAUGUUGUACUUUGUCUUUACUUACACUUUAUGCUUAACCUUUCUGUCUUUUCAGUGCCCAAGCAAAACUCAGCAAAAGGGCAAAGAAGAACAAGCCGGUCGAUGAGCCGGACUUGCCUGAACCGGAGGUAGCCGCUCAAGAACCGCCAGCUGCCUCUGCUCCUGAGGCCGUUGCUCCAACCAACAAGCCCAUAGCAGAAGCGUCUGCUAACCCGGAGGCCUCCAGUUCGGCUCAACCAGCAGAUGACCCGGAUGUGGUAAUCACCCGGACAGAAUAUGUUGAGCCGGGGAGACCUACUGCGCUGGCCAAGUGCUCCGCUAAGGAGGAGUUGUUAGGGCGCCACCGGGCCAAUCUGGACCUCACCGACUAUGGCAAUCAGAGCAUCGGAGAGAUCAUCUCCGGCUAUAUCAGCCAGGUGCACAAGAGCCGGGACGUAGAGAUUGCAAUGGUGAACCAGAUUCAGCAGAAGUCUGAGGUAUCACUCUUCUGUCUUCUUACUUACUGCAUUUUUACCUUUACCAUGCUAGCCCCCAAGUCGACGACUUAUGAAUGAAUAUGUUGUAGACUUAAGUUCCGGCUUACUUCCAUGAACCAGUAAUUUGUAGAUAGGAACGUUCGAUAUGCAUUAGCCCCCAAGUGCCAAGUGUCUUUGCUUGGAAAACGCUUGGGACUUUAAAUUUGCAUAGUAACUGUUCAUGCUAUAACCCGGAAAUUAUGCAGGCUGCUGGCAAGAAAUUCGAAGCUGACAUCGCCGAUCUCAAGACCCGUCUGAAGACACAAGAAACUGAGACCCGGAAAGCAAACGCCAAAUUUGUGUCCAGUAUUGCUGCGCAAGAAAAGCUGAAGACGGACUUUGACGCUGAACGGAGAGCCUGGGCCGAAGAGAAGGCUACUCUGGUGAGCCGGGCCGAAAAGGCGGAAAAGGCUCUGUCAGAGAAGACCGCCGAACUCUCCGGCUUAAAGCGCCAAGUGUCCCAGAUGGUUGCCGCAAUCUUCGGUAAGUCAUUUCACCGGCUUUCAUCAAGGUUAGGAUCUUUAUAUCUCAUAACUCAUCCUUAUCGGCGGCUUAUCAUAUUCUGUUAAACAGGUCCCAGAAGCGCCAACCUCAACCAAAGCGUGGUAACCAAGUUAAAAGCCGUGUACACCCUGGUGGAGCAACUCUACACCGGGUCACAGCGUGCUUUGGCUGUGGUGGCCCUAUCCAAUGAGGUGCCGACUCACCUGGCGGAAGUCCUUCGCCGGCUCGCCGUUCUUCCUCAACGUAUCCAAGAACUGCGACGGGCCUCUGCAAGAGCCGGAGCUAUCGCCGCGCUGAGCCGGGCCAAGGCGUUCCUUCCAGAGUUAGACCCGGCGGACAUCGCCCUCGGCUAUCCAAGUUUGAAGGAAGACGGCACAACCUUUGACCAAAGGGACUUUGCCGCCUGCGUGAAGAUCGUGCGCCCGGUGGCCACCCUCAUUGGAAACGACACAGAUCUGACCAAGUUCCAGCCGGGUUACAAUGCGGAAAAUCAGAGGAUCCCCACCCCGCGCUAUGAAGCCCUCAGCUUAAUCCCGCCAGCUCGUCAGCACACCUUCGCCGCGGAGAUUGACCCGGCCGGGUUAAUUGACGAGGAAGCUCAAUUCAAAGCUCUGAGCGUCAUCGACUGGAAGUCAUCAACUUUCCAGGUCUUGGGAACAGCCGGAGGAGAAGAGAGGGAUGAGCCGGAGACAUCAACCCAGCAAGCAUCUUAACUCGGCAGGCGGCUUAUAAAACAAUGCUUCACCCUUUUGGAAUCGAUGAGUCUUGUAAUAGAGUAGGAUCAAUACUUUAAAUUUGCCGUGCAAUCGUGCACGCGUUGAAUGCUGAAGUCCAUUGAAGUUGUCUCCUCUAUAUUUCUCCGGGUCAUAAUCGAUUAUUCAUUUUCCUUAAGCUCGAAAUAAUUGCCCUUAACUAUCCAGCCUGCAAACACACUUCCGGCUUAGAUAACCCGGGCAAUAAGAUUGGUACCUCAAUUCCGGUUUACCAGUCUCAAUGACGCCGGUUGUAUUCGAUUAGCCCUGUAAAUCAAAGUUAAGCCGGCAAAGUGAAACCCGGCCGUACACACUUUGAAAUAAACAGAAGAAACUUGCUAUAAAUCAGGAAAACUUAGGGGCUUCCAGUUCGAAUACGACCAGAGACCCGUCCCAAAGGGGUUAUGCUAGGAUUCGAAUACGAUCAUAUAGCCCCCAGUGGGUGUGGCAAUGCCAAUCAAAAGGGUAUCGACAGCUAUGUUCUCUUUGGUUCGAAUACGACCCAUGUUUGAACAGGAAGCCCCCAAGUGAUUUUAAGAAUUGUUUAACGACGCUGAUUCGAAUACGAUCCACGUCGGUUCCCAAAGGGGUUAAACUAUGAUUCAAAUAUGAUCAAAGAAAACUCCCCAAUGAGCUCGGCACUUUGCCAAUCAAAUGGGUAUCGACAGCUAUGUUCUCUUUGGUUCGAAUACGACCUAUGUUUGAACAGGAAGCCCCCAAGUGACCUUAUUGCCUAUGGCUAGAUUCGAAUACGAUCAUAAGCCGGAUCCUCCUUCAAGUUAUCAUGUUAAUAAUGAAAACAACACGUGCACAUUUGGAGGAGAAAAAAGGACAGAGGUCCUGCUUUAUUGCUUAUCAUAAUAUAUACAUGGCUUAGAGAAAUAUGUACAUUAUGAGAGCCGGUGGCUCAAGUGUAGUAAGGCCGGAGCUGAGCUAUGUUCCACGGCCGACGGGUUUCUUCCUCCGACUUACGUGAAUCUUUGUGCUCUCGAAUGUCAAUGAGGUAAUAUGACCCGUUGUGCAAGUUCAUGCUGACCACAAAGGGCCCUUCCCAAGGUGGAGAUAACUUGUGCGCAUCAGUUUGAUCUUGGAUGAGCCGGAGUACGAGAUCGCCUUCCUGGAAGACCCGGGAUUUAACCCGGCGACUAUGAUAAUGGCGCAGGUCUUGUUGGUAAAUCACUGAGAGAGCUGCUGCCACAUCACGCUGUUCGUCCAACAAGUCAAGAGCAUCUUGGCGCGCCUGUUCAUUGUCCGCCUCAACGUAAGCCACCACUCGAGGCGAGUCAUGACGGAUGUCACUGGGGAGGACUGCUUCUCCAUGAAGAAAGGCGUGAAACCUGUAGACCUGUUAGGAGUAGUGUUGAUGCUCCAUAACACGGAGGGCAACUCCUCCACCCAACAACCCGGCGUCCGUUGCAAAGGGACCAACAGCCGGGGCUUGAUGCCCUUCAGAAUCUCCUGAUUAGCUCUCUCAGCUUGACCAUUGGAUUGAGGAUGAACCACUGAGGAAACAUCAAGUCGGAUAUGCUCUCGUUGACAAAACUCUUCCAUGGCGCCUUUGGAUAGAUUGGUGCCAUUGUCAGUUAUAAUGCUAUGCGGAAAGCCAAAGCGAAAGAUCACCUUUUUCACAAACUGAACUGAUGUGGCUGCAUCACACUUGCUAACUGGCUCUGCUUCCACCCACUUGGUAAAUUUGUCAACUGCCACCAAGAGGUGGGUCUUCUUAUCCUUGGAUCUUUUAAAAGGUCCAACCAUAUCAAGCCCCCAGACCGCAAAGGGCCAAGUAAUUGGGAUCAUCCUCAGCUCCUGAGCCGGCACAUGAGCCCGUCAUGAGAACCUUUGGCAACCAUCACAUUUACUGACCAAGUCCUCCGCAUCAGCAUGAGCCGUCAGCCAAUAAAAACCAUGGCGAAAAGCCUUGGCCACAAGAGACUUUGAGCCGGCGUGAUGGCCACAAUCCCCUUCAUGAAUCUCACGCAAGAUCUCUUGACCUUCCUCAGGGGAGACACAAUGCUGAAACGCUCCUGUAACACUGCGGUGAUGCAACUCGCCAUUGAUAACAAUCAUUGACUUAGCCCGCCGGGUUAUUUGUCUGGUCAAAGUUUCAUCCUCAGGCAACUCUCCCCGGGUCAUGUAAGCCAAAUAAGGUAUUGUCCAGUCCGGUAUGAUGUGGAGAGCCGCCACCAGUAGUGCCUUCGGGUCAGGGACAACCAAGUCUUCCUCUGUAGGCAACUUAACAGAAGGGUUAUACAGGACGUCCAGGAAAGUAUUAGGCGGCACCGGUUUUCGCUGAGAGCCCAGCCGGCUUAAAGCAUCAGCCGCCUCGUUCUUCCUGCGAUCGAUGUGCUCUACUUGGUAACCCUGAAAGUGCCCAGCAAUGGCAUCAACUUCGCGGCGAUAAGCCGCCAUGAGAGGGUCCUUAGAGUCCCACUUGCCUGAUACUUGUUGAGCCACCAAGUCUGAGUCGCCGAAACACCUCACCCGGCUCAAGCUCAUCUCCUUAGCCAUCCGAAGACCAUGGAGCAAGGCCUCGUACUCAGCUGCGUUGUUGGUACAAGGAAACAUCAAUUGUAGCACAUAAUGGAACUUAUCACCCUUAGGGGAAGCCAAUACGACUCCAGCCCCCGAGCCCUCCAACUGCCUGGACCCAUCAAAGUGAAUAGUCCAAUAUGUGUUAUCCGGCUUUUGCUCGGGCACUUGUGACUCUGUCCAAUCAUUGAUGAAAUCCACCAAGGCCUGAGAUUUAACAGCAGUGCGUGGCACGUAUUUGAGACCAUGAGGUCCGAGCUCGAUGGCCCACUUAGCCACUCUCCCUGUGGCCUCUCUGUUUUGAAUGAUAUCACCAAGAGGGGCAGAACUGACCACAGUGAUGGGAUGACCCUGGAAAUAAUGCUUAAGCUUCCGGCUCGCCAUGAACACACCAUAAACAAGCUUCUGCCAAUGUGGAUACCGCUGUUUGGACUCGAUGAGCACUUCGCUGACAUAAUAAACCGGCCGCUGAACCGGAUGCUCCUUACCCUCUUCCUUGCACUCCACCACCACAGCCACACUGACGGCUCAUGUGUUUGCUGCCACAUACAGUAAUAAGGGCUCCUUAUCAACCGGAGCAGCAAGGACUGGGGGCUCUGCCAGCUGCUUCUUCAAAUCCUCAAAAGCGGUAUUAGCUGCAUCAUUCCAGACAAAGUUAUCAGUUUUCUUCAUCAACUGAUAUAAUGGCAUGGCCUUCUCACCCAGACGGCUUAUAAACCGGCUUAAAGCAGCGAUGCGACUCGCCAAGCGCUGAACGUCAUUUAUACACGCCGGCUUAGCCAGAGAGGUGAUGGCCUUGAUCUUCUCCGGGUUAGCUUUAAUGCCUCUGUCAGAAACCAAGAAACCCAAGAGUUUUCCUGCGGGAACACCAAAAACACACUUGGCCGGGUUAAGCAUCAUCUUGUAAACCCGGAGAUUAUCAAAGGUUUCUCUCAAAUCAUCUAUCAGGGUUUCCUCCUUGAUGGACUUAACCACAAUAUCGUCCACAUAAGCAUGAACAUUGCGCCCAAUCUGGUUAUGAAGACAGUUCUGCACGCAACGCUGAUAAGUCGCCUGUGCACACUUGAGUCCAAAGGGCAUGGACACAUAGCAGAAGGCUCCAAAGGGAGUGAUGAACGCCGUCUUCUCCUGGUCCUUAACUGCCAUUUUAAUCUAAUGAUAUCCGGAAUAAGCAUCCAAGAAACUUAAACGCGCACAACCUGCCGUAGCAUCAAUAAUUUGAUCAAUACGGGGAAGGGCAAAAGGAUCAGUCGGACACGCCUUGUUUAAGUCCGUGUAGUCUACACACAUCCGCCACGUGCCGUUCUUCUUGAGUACGAGCACCGGGUUAGCUAACCAUUCUGGGUGAAAGACUUCAACAAUAAACCCGGCCGCCAAGAGCCGGGCCACCUCUUCGCCAAUAGCUUUCCGCCUCUCUUCAUUAAACCGCCGAAGGAACUGCCUGACCGGCUUAAAUUUCGGAUCAACAUUGAGAGUGUGCUCAGCGAGUUCUCUAGGUACACCUGGCAUGUCAGACGGCUUCCAUGCAAAAAUGUCCCUAUUCUCACGGAUGAACUCGAUGAGCGCGCUUUCCUAUUUUGGAUCCAGAUUGGCACUGAUGCUAAACUGCUGAGAUGAAUCUCCUGGAACGAAAUCAACAAGUUUAGUCUCAUCAGCCGACUUAAAUUUCAUUGCCGGCUCAUGUUCCGUAGUCGGCUUUUUCAGAGAGGUCAUAUCCGUUGGGUCAACGUUGUCUUUGUAAAACUUCAACUCCUCUGUUGCACAAACAGAUUCCGCAUAAGCUGCAUCGCCUUCCUCACACUCCAGGGCCACCUUCCGGCUUCCAUGAACCGUAAUGGUCCCAUUAUGACCCGACAUCUUGAGCUGUAAAUACACGUAACACGGCCGUGCCAUGAACUUGGCGUAAGCCGGCCGCCCAAAUAUGGCAUGGUACGGACUUCUUAUCUUGACCACCUCAAAGGUCAAUUUUUCCACCCUGUAGUUGUGCUCAUCUCCAAAGGCCACUUCCAACUCGAUCUUGUCGACUGGAUAAGCCGACUUACCAGGUACCACACCGUGGAAAAUGGUGUUUGACUGGCUGAGGUUCUUAUCAAUCAACCCCAUACGGCAGAACGUCUCAUAAUAGAGGAUGUUGAUGCUGCUGCCUCCAUCCAUGAGCACCUUAGUGAACUUAUAUCCUCCCACCUGAGGAGCCACCACCAAGGCCAAGUGACCCGGAUUAUCCACCAGGGGAGGGUGAUCCUCCCUACUCCACACUAUAGGCUGCUCAGACCAUCGUAAAUAGCGUGGAACCGCCGACUCAACAGCAUUCACAACCCUCUUAUGAAGCUUCUGAUCUCGCUUACACAGACUGGUGGUAAACACAUGGUACUGUCCACCGCUAAGCUGCUUUGGAUUGGUCUGAUAACCCCCCUGCUGCUGCUGAUGACCCUGGCCAGACUGUUGAUUAAAGCCCCCUUGGCCGUUCUGAGGAUUAGAAUUUGAGCCGCCGCCCGGGCCAUGAAAGCCGCCGGCGCCUGAGCCGCCGCCCGGGCCAUUGUAAUUCUUAAAGGCCUUCAUGAUUGCACAAUCCUUCCAUAGAUGGGUAGCUGGCUUCUCUCUAGAGCCAUGCCUUGGACAAGGCUCAUUCAACAGCUGCUCCAGCGUCGGGCCUGACCCCCCGACUCGGGGAGGGGGCCUCCCCUUGCGUCGCUGGUUAUUACCCUGUGAGCUGGCGUUGGCUACGAACUCUAGGCUGCCAUCGGCCUUGCGCUUGCCACCCCCUUGGUUCCCCGGGUUAUGCUGAGGACCCUUGCCAUUGCCGUUCUUCUUUCCCUUCCCUGUCCUUUCAUCAUCUGAAGCAGGGUCCUUGGUACCAUCAGAAUCGGCGUACUUGACAAGAGCCGCCAUUAGUGUACCCAUGUCAUUGCAGUCGCGCUUAAGCCGCCCGAGUUUCAUCUUCAGGGGCACAAAACGACAAUUUUGUUCCAACAUUAAGACUGCAGAGCCAGUAUCCAUCUUAUCAGAGGAAUGUAUUAUCUCCUUAACCCGGCGAACCCAAUGUGUCGUAGACUCACCCUCCUGCUGCUUGCAGUUAGUCAAAUCCACAAUUGACAUAGACUGCCUACAGGUAUCCUUGAAGUUUUGGAUGAACUGGGCCUUCAGCUCAGCCCAAGACCCAAUGGAAUUCGGUGGUAGCCCUUUCAACCAAGUGCGGGCAGUCCCAUCCAACAUCAUGGUGAAGUAUCUGGCCAUUGCCGCUUCACUGACCUCCAGCAGUUCCAUGGCCAUCUCGUAACUCUCGAUCCAGGCUGCAGGUUGUAAGUCGGCCGUGUAAUUAGGCACCUUCCUAGGGCCUUUGAAGUCCUUGGGUAGACGUUCAUUGUGAAUAGCUGGUACUAAACAAGGGACACCUCCAGUCCUGGUAGGGAUACUCACGUCGACGGAAGUCGUCGGAUAAGCCGGGGGAGUCUGGUAAGCCGUCAACUGAGGCACCUGCUCCGCCUCUUGCCGCGCUCUGUCUUGGUUUGCUGCGUGAAAGGCUCCGUUAUGAGCCGGGCCAUGGCCAGGGGGCGGGUCAUGGCGUCGGACGUUACUUGAGCCGGUCGCUGAGACCAUGUGUCUGCUGUAACUCGGGCUCCGGCCCGGACGAGGAGUCGAGUGGAUCCUGUCCCGGCUGUAGGAGUACGCCUCUUGUUGCGCCAGUGCUGUCUGAAGGAGUUCCCUGACUCGGCGGGUUUCAAUAGCCGUCGGAGAGUCGCCGUCAAUUGGGAGAGCCGCCAGCCGCGCUGCCGCGGCGACCAUGUUCUCCAGCGGGUUAGCAUAAUGAUCCGGAGGUAUUGGUACGUAUUGAGGCGGGGUAGGGGGCAUCUGGGGAGGCCCCAUCACUUGUGGCUGAAUAGGGGUCCCGGACCCGGGCACUAUGACCCCUGGCGGGUUACUAGACCCUGCGCCUGGCGUGUUGAAGAGGUUUCGUGGAUCGUAAACCGGAGGGAGCCGUGAUUGGGCCUUUUGAUGCCUCCUUCUCAUGACCUCAUUGGAUGCGUUUUGAUCCAUCGUGAGCCGGAAGGACUGCGCCUGAAUCAACUGGGUUUGGGCGUCAAGAGCCGCCCUCUCCGCAGCCAUCCUGAUCCCUUCUGCUGCCAGAUCCUCCUUAGCUUUCACUAGAUCUAAUUUUAACUGCGCCACCUCCGCAUCAUGCUGAGCUUGAUCCGCCGGGUCAACCGCAGCGGUCAACAGGGCCGUCAUCUUAUCCGUGAGAUCCAUCAGCACCUAAGCCGGCGAAGGCACCGGGUUUCCCGCUCCAGUAGCAAGGUUCUGAACAGGCUGCGCACCGGCCAUGAAGACUCCAACCUGACUUGGCGGCUCAAACGGGUCCGGAAUACUAUCACCAUCGGAACAACCCAUGAGCCGGCCAUCUUGAAGUUGAUACAACGAGUUUGACUCAUCUGUGGACGACUCGCCGUCAGAGCCGGCGGCCGUUUCAUCACCAGAUCCAGAUUUAUCAGAGAGCCCUCCAUGGAUACAUCCCACAAACGCAUGCUUGAAGGCAGGCGGGGCCCGGGCGGGUCGUGCACGCUGAGCCGUCUCAAUGAGAUCAGCGCAGAGAUCCGGCUCAGGGCCCGGCUCAACAAUCUUACCAAUGAAAACAUGAAUUCCGCCGAAGGGGACCCGGUACCCGUACUCAAUUGAGCCGGCGUCGGGGCCCCAGUUUGCAUCGUCGAUGUAGAGCUUGCCGCGACGACUCUUGGUCAUCCGGCCCAUAGCAUAUCCCUUGAGCCCUUCGAAUCUGCCCUUCAAGAACUCAAAUCCACCGUGCGAUGGCCCCACGGUGGGCGCCAACUGUCGUGGAAUUGUCACGGCAGAUGUCCUCAAGCUAGGACUUAGUCGUGGAGCCAUCGCCGCUAGGAAGUUUGAAGGGGUUAACGGGACAAGGAACACGAGGGUUUAUACUGGUUCGGCCCCUUAUGGUGAAGGUAAAAGCCUACGUCCAGUUUAGGUGGUAUUGAUUAGGGUUUCGAUGACCAGGGAGCUUAGCUGCUGUGCCUGGCUCUCGAUCAGAUCUUUCUCGUCCUUAAACCGCUGCCGGGUCGUCCCUUUAUAUAGGGAGGCUGACGCCCAGCAGCUCUCAGAGUCCCGGCCGGCUCAUAAGAGUGUCCGGCUCGGACUCUCAACUAUUCUUGCCUUACACUACAAGUUCUACCAUAAUAAUGAUUGUAACUAUGGGCUUUAAGCUAUAUCCGGGUCUUAAGCCCAUCUUUGGCCCACCGUCUUCAAGUUUGGCGCCGGGCUUCUGGCAAUGACCAUUAUGAGUAACCCGGCCCCUCCUGGCGGGUGACUCUAAGGUCUAUAUCCUCAACAGAGACCAUCAAAGUUGUCGAAGGGGCCGAUGACAUUUGGAUUGGCAUCUCGUGUGCCAUCAGCCCGCGGAGCAGAAGGCCGUGGGUUGAAAUCGCAUCCGAGACUCUUCUUGUUCUCUUUGGCCGAGUUCUUGGCAAACUGGAAGUUGCGCUUGAACAGAUUGUCUUCACGACACCAUAGCAGAGAAGAUGGGUCGGCAUCAGCAGGCUGUGGUCCACGGACCAUGCAAGGGUAGAAACCCUGAGCAAUAGCUUCAGAUCUGGUCUUGGGUUGAAGAUUUUUGUAGAGAAUAUCUCCCCAAGGACGCUUGAUGGCAUUCUUUUCAGCAUAUUCCUUGGUGACGAAUCUAUACUUGAACCAUUGCUCGGCCCAAUAUCUUCGAAUCCAUUGGAUUCGAGUUUUGCGUUGGCCAUAGCUCUCCUCAGGAUCAGUUUUGUAUAGCUCAUAGAGAUCUUCGGGCAGAUCAAUUGAUGUGCCCCCGCGGCGCUGUCUGCCUCCCUUCCUUGCUGACUAAUCUGUUGCCAUGAAGUUCAGACUGAAUGGCUUCAAAACUGUCAAAGGCUUCUGUCUGCUGGUCAGACAGGAACUGGCUUCGGGAGAGUUGAUAUGAUGUUGUAAGAAUUCUGCAAAUGAAUGCAGACUAUGAGAACCAAGGGAUUCUCCCACGGGCAUGUACCUGUGAUAGCAUUAGAGAUGCGAGGGAAGGGGAAGAGGUCAUAUGCAUUCUCAGAAGAUUUUGAAGAUAAAUCAGUUUAGAAGACAUUGACCUCAUAGCGCGAAGACAUUCACUUAUAUGUUGAGAGUUGGUUCCAGAUUUGUAUGAAUCCAAGAAUAGGUACAAGUGAGGAAUCUAACUACGUGUGAAGCAUAAGUGAAUAUACUAGGCAUCAUAUGAGAUGCAGAACAGGAUAGAUCCAAAUUUGUGGAGGCAGAAACCACUUUUGGUAGGAAGGAUGAAUCUAUCAGAUCAAAAAGACAGUAAAAAGAGGGUUUUAAUUUACCACACGAUGAACUGCUAGACGGAGUAGAAGAUGAGGCCGAGCAGUUCGAUCUUCCGUGCCCUAACUUGGCGACGGAGGACACCUACGGCAACAGCGGAGAAGACCAUGUCCGCGGCCGGCGUGAAGACGGCGUCGGUGAGGUCGCGGCAGCUAAGCGCUUCGUCGCCGGCGUCGUCGAGAGCUAGCGUUGGCGCUAGGGUUUGUCGAGGUGGAGAGGUGGAAGAAGUGUUUUGACCGCGAUGUGAUGUGCAUUUAUAGGGAGAGGGACGGCACAACGCAAUUACGCAGGUGCCCCUGGUGGUUCACAUCUGAGGGACACAUGGCGAACAUGCAACACAUUGGAAGUUGUUCCAUGUUCCCACACACGCCUGGAUUGUCGGGUGGUCGUUCCGGCUUCUCCGGGUUUCAGGCAGUAAGGAUUGAGCAUUUAAAACAGAUUUAAUGUUUGUCUCUGUAUCUUCUGCUGACAAGGACGCAGAGAAGACAUUCGACGGUUUCAAUAGAAUGCAUAUGAUUUGGAUAGAUAGAGUUUGAGGUAGGAAGCAUAGAGAGGUUAGGGUCCGAUCACAUUCACUUAGUCCAAAAGAUUCAAACGAGAAGACAUAGCUAUAAGUGAAUGCUGUAGAGGACAGAACACUAACAUAUGUAUAUAUCAGAACAAGACCAAAUCAACAUUGUGAAGAUAAACAUGAAGUCAUGUUACUGUUGAAGAAAAACCAAAUGCGAAGACUUAGCAAAUGUAACGCCAAGAGAAAAACAUUCCAAACAAAAGUUUGGUGGUGGCGUUACCCACCGUAUAGGAAGUAUUAGACCCAGACACGACGCACAAUUAUCGUGGCGCUCCGAAGUCAAAUUCCGCAUUAAUGUAUUCACACUCAGAGUGUAAGUCUUCAUUGAUUGAACAUAUACAUUACUUCGUGUGUUGCACAUCUAAGUCAUCAACAUGCAUAAGUGUUAGGAUGUGUGCCUGAUCACAGGACAUUCGAGGAUUCCAAGAUAUUUAGCUCACACCACAACUUGCAAAACCUUUUCUCAUCCAAGGGCUUUGUGAAGAUAUCUGCCAAUUGCUCUUCAGUGUUGACGUGUAUAAUAUCAAUAUCUUCCUUCAUAACAUGAUCUCUGAGAAAGUGAUGAAGAAUUUCAAUGUGCUUUGUCUUCGAGUGUUGAACUGGAUUGUUGGCAAUCUUGAUGGCGCUUUCGUGGUCGCAGUAGAGUGGUACUUGUUUCAGAUGGAUGCCAUAGUCCUUGAGAGUUUGCUUCAUCCAUAGAAGCUGAGCGCAGCAAGAUCCAGCAGCAAUGUAUUCAGAUUCAGCAGUGGAGAGUGAUACACAGUUUUGCUUCUUUGAAGACCAACAGACAAGUGAUCGUCCCAGAAAGUGACAUGUGCCUGAUGUAGACUUGUGAUCCACCUUGUCACCAGCAUAAUCAGCAUCCGAGAAUCCAACUAGAUCAAACUCUGAGCCCUUUGGAUACCAUAAUCCUAGUGUUGGGGUGUAAGCCAAAUAUCGAAGAAUUCGCUUCAUAGCUAAGUGAUGCGAUUCCUUUGGUGCCGCUUGGAAUCGAGCACACAUGCAAACACUAAGCAUGAUAUCUGGCCUAGAUGCACAUAAAUAAAGUAAAGAACCAAUCAUGGAGCGGUAUACCUUUUGAUCGAACUCUUUACCAUUGGCGUCGGGACCCAGAUGACUCUUGGUUGGCAUUGGCGUCGUGUAACCUUUGCAGUCUUGCAUUCCAAACUUCUUCAGGCAGUCUUUGAGGUAUUUCUCUUGAGAUAUGAAGAUGUCAUUUCUUUGCUGACGAAUUUGAAGACCAAGGAAGAACUUCAGCUCACCCAUCAUGGACAUCUGGUAUUGCUCUUGCAUCAUGUGUCCAAACUCGUCACUGUAUUUCUGGUUGGUGCAGCCGAAGAUAAUGUCAUCCACAUAUAUUUGGCACACAAACAGUUCAUCAUCAUAUGUCUUCGUGAAGAGUGUAGGAUCUAGGGAACCAGGUUUGAAGCCUUUGCUCUUCAGGAAGUCUUUGAGUGUGUCAUACCAAGCGCGAGGGGCUUGUUUGAGGCCAUACAAUGCCUUGUUAAGCUUGUACACCAUAUCAGGAUGUUUUGGAUCUUCAAAGCCAAGAGGUUGUGCAACAUACACUUCUUCUUCAAUCUUGCCAUUGAGAAAUGCACUCUUCACAUCCAUUUGAUACAGAAGGCUGUUGUGAUGAUUUGCAUAGGCUAGCAAUAUGCGAAUAGCUUCAAGCCUAGCCACAGGAGCAAAUGUUUCAUCAAAGUCAAUCCCUUCAACUUGAGUGUAUCCUUGAGCAACGAGACGAGCCUUGUUUCUGACAACUUGACCAUGCUCAUCUUGCUUGUUGCGAUAAAUCCAUUUUGUGCCUAUUAUGUUGUGCUUGCGAGGGUCAGGACGCUUGACAAGUUCCCAGACAUUGUUCAGUUUGAACUGUUGAAGCUCUUCGUGCAUGGCUUGAAUACAUUCAGGUUUCAUGAAGGCUUCAGCAACUUUCUUGGGUUCAGAUAUUGAGACGAAUGCAAAGUGCCCACAGAAAUUUGCUAGCUGUGUUGCUCUUGAACGGGUGAGUGGACCAGGCGCAUUGAUGCUAUCAAUUAUCUUCUCAAUCUGUACUUCAUUUGCAACACGAGGAUGAACUGGACGAAGAUUUUGCUCUUGCUGAUCAUUGUCAUCGUUAGGAGGAUUGUCUUCGGGCUGAGCAUUGUCUUCAGGUUGAUUGGGUGCAGAAAUGAUAAGUUCCUCUUCAGGCUGUGCUUCAGACGGUAUGAUUUCUCCUGUUCCCAUUAGCUUGAUGGAUUCACUAGGUGGAACUUCAUCUAGCACAUUUGGCAGGUGCUCUCUUUGCGAGCCGUUAGUCUCAUUGAAUCGCACAUCCACAGUUUCAACCACUUUAUAGUGAAAGAGGUUGAAGACUUUGUAGGAGUGCGAAUCCUUUCCGUAACCAAGCAUAAAACCUUCAUGUGCUUUCGGUGCAAAUUUUGAAGUGUGAUGUGGAUCCUUGAUCCAGCACCUAGCACCAAAUACUCUGAAGUAACUGACAUUUGGCUUCUUACCAGUGAGGAGUUCAUAGGAUGUCUUCUUCAGAAGCUUGUGAAGAUAAACACAGUUGAUGACAUGGCAUGCAGUAUCAAUAGCUUCAGGCCAGAACUUUCUUGGAGUCUUGUAUUCAUCAAGCAUCGUCUGUGCCAUCUCAAUGAGUGUUCUGUUCUUGCACUCCACGAUGCCAUUCUGCUGAGGUGUGUACGGAGCUGAGAACUCAUGAGUGAUGCCCAAUGUAUCCAGGUAAAGGUCGAGGCCGGUGUUCUUGAACUCUGUGCCGUUGUUACUUCUAAUAUGCUUGAUCUUAACGCCAUAAUUGUUCAUGACACGGUUGGCGAAGCGUCUGAAGACAUCCUGCACUUCAGUCUUGUAGAGAAUUAUGUGCACCCAAGUAUAUCUUGAAUAAUCAUCAACAAUGACAAAGCCGUAGAGACAAGCAGUAGUUGUGAGUGUAGAGUAGUGAGUAGGACCAAAUAAGUCCAUGUGGAGCAGCUCGAAGGGUUGAGAUGUCGUCAUGAUUGUCUUCGAGGGAUGCUUGGCCCUUGUCAUCUUUCCAGCUUCGCGGGCACCGCACAGAUGAUCUUUCUUGAACUUGACGCCCUCGAUGCCUAUGACGUGCUUCUUCUUUGCGAGAGUGUGUAAGUUCCUCAUGCCAGCAUGCCCUAGCCUCCGAUGCCAGAGCCAGCACUCUGAAGCUUUUGCUAGUAGACAUACGGCAAGCUGUGGUCCUGCUGAGAAAUCUACCAUGUAUAGAUCAUUUUUCCGAUACCCUUCAAAGACUAGAGACUUGUCAGAUUCCAUCAGUACCAGGCAACGAUAUUUUCCAAAUAUCACAAUCAUGUUCAAGUCACAAAGCAUUGAGACAAACAUUAAGUUGAAACCAAGGGAUUCAACAAGCAUCACUUUAUCCAUGUGCUGAUCCUUUGAGAUUGCAACUCUACCUAGACCCAAUACCUUGCUUUUACCAAUGUCAGCAAAUGUGAUGUGACUUUUGUCGGAUGGACGUAAAGUUGAGUCCAUGAGAAGACUUCGAUCACCAGUCAUAUGAUUAGUGCAUCCGCUGUCCAUAAUCCAUUCUGAAGCAUGAGGUGUCAUACCCUACAGUACAGUUAGGGGAUAGACUUCACCAAGAGUAUUGUGAAGCAUAAACAUUUAACGCACAAGAGUAUUAUCAAAGCUCAGAUCAAGGUUAGGACUGAUAGGAUGAUUGGGAAGCGAUUCAGGAACAAAAUACAUAGUAAGACCAUUUGGGCAUUUUAUCUUGCACCCUACAAGAUGUUUUAGGUCCCCAGCAUUAGCAUCAGACGCCUUUGAUUUCCGGCUGGAGACCUUUCCCUGCAAAAGAAAGUUAAUUCUUCUUAGCCACCCACAUCUUCAGGGGUGGCUUAGAAGCAAUGAGUCUAAGUGCAGCAUCUGAGAACUUCGGCUUUGGAGCCCUAGCAAAUAGCCUUGUAGGAGGAGAAUAAUACUCAUAUGAAUAAGCAGAAAAGUUCUUAGUUUUAUGAACAUAGCGGUUUGAAGACACACGCUCAUAUUCAUAAGUUUGAGUACGAUUUCCCUGCAAAACAUUGGCGUUAGGGUGACUCAGUUGAGUCCGGUAUCUGUAUGAAGCCUUUGGACCAUAUGAAGCUUUUGAUCUGGGAUUUGUCUUCUUCCCAGGUGGUGUCAUGAUGACAUUCACAGGAAGAUUCUCAAGACAACUUUUGGGGACCCAGAUCUUCUUCAUAGGUGGCCCAUUCCUGCAGUUAGUACCAAUAUACCUGGCGAACAGUUCAUCAUUCUGAUUCUUGAACAGUUUAUAGUUUGCAUCAAAGAAAUCAUCAAUGAUAACUGGGUUAGCACAAGUGAAGCCAGAUAAAGUGGAUGGAUCCACUGAAGGUCCCUUUGCAGCAACCCAUGUGGUUUUGGGGUACUGCUCAGGCUUCCAGUAGGAACCAUCAACAUUCAUUUUCCUCUCAAACCCAACACCCUCUUUCCUAGGGUUUCAGUUCAGAAUCUGCUUUUUGAGGACAUCGCACAGUGUCUGAUGCCCUUUGAGACUUUUGUACAUCCCUGUUUCAAGCAAUGUCUUCAACCUAGCAUUUUCAUCAGCAAUAGUAGUGGUAUCCUCAGCAGAGGGGUUAGUUACCACAUCAACAGUUGAAGAUAUUGCAACAGUAGCAGCAGUAGAACAUUCAGCAACAGAAGUAGCGUUAUCACGCUCAAGGCAUUUUAGACAUGGUGGUUCAAAUCCUUCCUGAGCAGGACUGAUCUGUUGAGCGCGAAGUCACUCAUUCUCUUUUUGAAGAUCUUCAUGAGCCGCUCUCAAUUUCUCAAGCUCUUGCUUCCUUUGAAGAUAAUCAUAGGAAAGCUUUUCAUGAGUGGUUGAGAGCGUUUCAUGACGACUUUCAAGUUCCUGGUACUUAACAUGAAGAUUUUUUUAUGUCUUCAGUUAAUGACUAAGAUCAGGUCAUUUCCGCGUCCAACAGGUCAUCGCUUUUGUCUAAUAGUUUUUGAGUGUGUUCCAUAGCUUUCUGUUGUUCAGUUGCAAUUUUAGCAAGUGUUUUGUAGCUGGGUUUGGAUUCACAAUCAGAGUCAUCUUCACUUGAUGUUUGAAAGUAAGCAUCGCGUGAUUUUACCUUGGCACCACGUGCCAUGAAGUAGUAGGUGGGAGCAGAGUCGUCCUUGUCAUUAGCAUCAGCGUUGGUGACGGGGUCAUUGUCUUCAGUGUUGAAGAUGGACUUGGCAACAUAGGUUGUAGCUAGAGCCAGACUUGCAACGCCAGGGUCGGACUCCUCCUCAGAUUCCACCUCCGCCUCCUCAGAAGCAGACUCCUCCUCUGAAUCCAUCUCCUUGCCAACAAAAGCACGAGCCUUGCCAGAUGAGCUCUUCUUAUGUGAUGAAGACUUGGACGAAGACUUGGAAGAAGACUUUGAGGAUUUCUUCUUCUUGUUGUCAUCAGAAUCAUAUUCAUUGCUCUUCUUCUUCUUCUUAUUCUCAUUGUCCCGCUGUGGACACUCAGAGAUGUAGUGACCAGGCUUCUUGCACUUGUGACAUGUUCUCUUCUUGUAAUCAUGAGUGGAAGCUUCAUCAUUUCUUGAGCUAGAUCGUGAAGACUUUCUGAAGCCCUUCUUCUUAGUGAACUUCUGGAACUUCUUCACAAGCAUAGCAAGCUCCUUUCCAAUGUCUUCAGGAUCACCAGAACUGCAGUCAGAUUCUUCUUCAGAUGAGGAAACAACUUUUGCCUUCAAAGCGCGAGUUCGGCCAUAAUUGGGACCAUAGAUAUCUCUUUUCUCAGAUAGCUGGAACUCAUGUGUGUUGAGCCUAUCAAGUAUGUCAGACGGAUCGAGUGUCUUGAAGUUAGGGCGUUCUUGUAUCAUCAGGGCAAGGGUGUCGAACGAGCUGUCAAGUGAUCUCAGGAGUGUCUUGACGAUUUCAUGCUUGGUGAUCUCAGUGGCACUGAGAGCACGAAGCUCAUUUGUGAUGUCAGUGAGGCGAUCAAACGUGAGCUGGACAUUCUCAUUGUUGUUUCUCUUGAAGCGGUUGAAGAGGUUGCGAAGAACACUCAUCCUUUGAUCUCUCUGGGUUGAGACGCCUUCGUUGACCUUGGAGAGCCAGUCCCAGACUAGCUUCGACGUUUCCAGAGCACUCACACGGCCAUACUGUCGUUUGGUCAGAUGACCACAGAUGAUGUUCUUGGCAGUAGAAUCCAGUUGAAUGAACUUCUUGACAUCAGCAGGGGUGACACCUUCACCAGUCUUGGGAACACCAUUCUUGAUGACAUACCAGAGGUCGACAUCAAUGGCUUCAAGAUGCAUGCGCAUCUUAUUCUUCCAGUAGGGAUAUUCAAUUCCAUCGAAGACGGGGCACGCAGCGGAGACUUUGAUUAUCCCUGCAGUCGACAUAGCUAAAACUUCAGGUGGUUAAACCGAAUCACACAGAACAAGGGAGUACCUUGCUCUGAUACCAAUUGAAAGUGCUAGUUAUCGACUAGAGGGGGGGUGAAUAGGCAAUUUUUAUCAAAGUCUUCAAAACAUGAGAGUUUCGAAGACAAUCAAUAGAAAUGAACCUAUUGAUAUGCAGCGGAAGGUAGACUACACUAAGCAAGCCAUAGUCAAGUAUACAAUGAAGUGAAAGCAUGAAGACUAAUAGCAGCUAGGUAGUGAAGAUCAGGAUGGAAGAUAGUAUGAAGCCAAACAACAAUAGAAGUCACACAGUGAAGUCAAACAGGUAACACAUGCAGACAAUGACUUCACGAAGACAAACUGAAAAUAAAGAGAGGGAGAAGAUAGAACCAGUCGCUUGGUCAGGAUAAGGAUUUGUUGGACCAGUUCCAGUUGCUGUGACAAUUGUACGUCUGGUUAGGGAGGCUGAGAUUUAACUCAGAAGACCGUGUCUUCACCUUAUUCCCCUUGAGCUAAGGACACCCAGUCCUCGCCCAAUCACUCUGGUAAGUCUUCAAGGUAGACUUCCAAACCUUCACAGACUUUGUUCACCGGCGAUCCACAAUGACUCUUGGAUGCUCAGAACACGACGCCUAACCGGCUGGAGGAUUCACAGUCCUCAAGUGUAACAAGUCUUCAGGUCACGCGGACAGAAAGACUUCAGUGAUGCCUAACACUCUUUGGCUCUGGGUGUUUGGGCUUUGUCCUCGCAAGGAUUUCUCUGUCUCAAAAGCUUCGGAGGUGGGUUGCUCUCAACGACAAAAGCCGUGCACUAACUCUGAGCAGCCACCAAUUUAUGGUGUAGGGGGUGGGUUAUUUAUAGCCACUAGGCAACCCGACCUGAUUUGUCCGAAAUGACCCUGGAUCACUAAGAAACUGACACGUGUUCCAACGGUCAGAUUUCAAACACACGCGGCAGCUUGACUUGGGCUACAAGUAAAGCUGACUCAUCCAGCUCUGGAUAAGAUUUGCUCUCUUUGUCUUCGCUCGAAGACAUAGGAUUUUGGUUGAGCAUCACUUCAGUCACUCUGACUUUGUUCACUGGGACCCCACUUAACAGUACGGUGUUUCCUAUGACUCAACAAAGAAGAAAAGGAAACAACGAAACAACUAAGUCUUCGCGCUCCAUAGUCUUCACGUGAUGUCUUCUCUUGUCAUAGUCUUCAAUGUGAAUAUCUUCACAUACCACCAUUGUCUUCAAUGUCUUCAUACAUUUUUAGGGGUCAUCUCCGGUAGGUAAACCGAAUCAAUGAGGGACUACUACCUGUGUUAUCCUGCAAUUCUCACAAACACAUUAGUCCCUCAACCAGGUUUGUCGUCAAUACUCCAAAACCAACUAGGGGUGGCACUAGAUGCACUUACAUGGACUAUGUUUAAUUAUCUUGGAUGAUGUAUGUUUGAGGACGUCGUAUGAAUUAUUUGCAUGACGUUUCUUCCAUGAUUGGAAAUUUUGAUUUUGAAUUGAGACAUUUAAAAUUGUGGAUCUAAUAUGAUUUAGUUCCAUGCAUUAGAAAUAAUAUAGUUAAAUCAGAGUGGGGUGGAACUAAAGUAAACAUAAAGUAUAUGUGACAGUGGAGAGAAAAAUGAGUUCUGGCAAUUUUGAGGGCUAUCCAGAAGAUGUUGGUACCGAUCGUGGAAAGAGACAAUCGGCUGCUAGUUCUCGUGUCUACAUUAAAACUAUUCGGAAGCACAACGAGGCUGCUCACUUGCGACAGAGGAGGAGGAAUGUUGUUUUGGAGUGUAAGAAAUUCACAUCACAUCGAAUGAGUAGUUGUCGAAUUAUCGUGCAUUCAUCAUUCACAUCACCCCCGAGCAUUUUGGAUACAAAAAAAAAA
RNAcentral lists this long non-coding RNA (34003 nucleotides) under Triticum aestivum (bread wheat). RNAcentral's name for it is "long non-coding RNA (TAES_LNC019673)". Lineage: Eukaryota; Viridiplantae; Streptophyta; Magnoliopsida; Poales; Poaceae. The record is from RNAcentral.